Molecule: ribosomal RNA, 441 nt
Filed under: uncultured bacterium
Lineage: Bacteria
Description: partial 16S ribosomal RNA
Rfam family: Bacterial small subunit ribosomal RNA
Source: RNAcentral
CCUACGGGUGGCAGCAGUGGGGGAUAUUGCACAAUGGGGGAAACCCUGAUGCAGCGACGCCGCGUGGGUGAAGAAGUAUUUCGGUAUGUAAAGCCCUAUCAGCAGGGAAGAAAGAAGACGGUACCUGACUAAGAAGCCCCGGCUAACUACGUGCCAGCAGCCGCGGUAAUACGUAGGGGGCGAGCGUUAUCCGGAUUCACUGGGGGUAAAGGGAGCGUAGACGGCCGUGCAAACCAGGAGUGAAAGCCCGGGGCCCAACCCCGGGACUGCUCUUGGAACUGGGCGGCUGGAGUGCGGGAGGGGCAGGCGGAAUUCCUGGUGUAGCGGUGAAAUGCGUAGAUAUCAGGAGGAACACCGGCGGCGAAGGCGGCCUGCUGGACCGCGACUGACGUUGAGGCUCGAAAGCGUGGGGAGCGAACAGGAUUAGAUACCCGUGUAGUC